RNAcentral lists this long non-coding RNA (431 nucleotides) under Manihot esculenta (cassava). Its description in RNAcentral is "long non-coding RNA (MESC_LNC009577)". Lineage: Eukaryota; Viridiplantae; Streptophyta; Magnoliopsida; Malpighiales; Euphorbiaceae. The record is from RNAcentral.
CUGAUCAUACAUAACUAUCAAAAUAAAAUAUUUUUUAUUCAAAUAAAAGACUUAUUAUAGGGCAGGAGGGAAAUCAUCAGUCGCCUUCUCCUGAGCUUCUGUUACAGGUUUAUCAUUGAUUAUGGCAUUAGAAGCUGGGUCAUGAGGGUUGUCUUCAAUUAGCCUUUCUUCAUCCUGCCCAUUCUCAUCCUUAUUCUUCUCCUUAGGGAAGAUGUCGUCGAUCCAGGAGAAGUCCACUGCAGGAAAAUGCUUGAGGAGCUCCUUCUUGACUGUAAUACCCGGCUAGACCCCGGUAUCGGAAUUCCUACGUUCCGGCGGAUUUUCCGUUGGAAGUCGGGAUUCGAGGAUGUCGGAGCUUGCCCUAAGGGUAUAAGAAAGGUUUUUAAGAUGUUUUUAAGUGUUUUUAUCAUGUUUGCAUGUUUUGAGUUAAG